AGAGUUUGAUCAUGGCUCAGGACGAACGCUAGCGGCGUGUUUGAAACAUGCAAGUCGAACGAUGUGGUCCGCAAGGGCUGCAGAGUGGCGAACGGGUGCGUAACACGUAAAGAACCUACCCUUUAGCGGGGGAUAGCCCUGGGAAACCGGGGGUAAUACCGCAUGAGCCUCUUUUAUCGCAUGAGAGAAGAGGGAAAGGCUGAUAAGCCAAAAGCUUAACAGUCACUGAAGGAAGGCUUUGCGGCCUAUCAGGUAGUUGGUGGGGUGAUGGCCUACCAAGCCAAAGACGGGUAGCUGGUCUGAGAGGAUGAUCAGCCACACUGGGACUGAGAUACGGCCCAGACUCCUACGGGGGGCAGCAGUUUAGAAUAUUGUGCAAUGGGCGAAAGCCUGACACAGCGACGCCGCGUGGGUGACGAAGGCCUUCGGGUCGUAAAGCCCUGUUGGUAGGGAGGAGCAAGGACAGUACCUACCAAGAAAGCCCCGGCUAACUACGUGCCAGCAGCCGCGGUAAUAC
RNAcentral lists this ribosomal RNA (517 nucleotides) under uncultured bacterium. Its description in RNAcentral is "bacterial SSU rRNA". It matches the Rfam family "Bacterial small subunit ribosomal RNA", at positions 8 to 526 of the family's 1533-position model. The record is from RNAcentral.